UACGUAGGGUGCGAGCGUUGUCCGGAAUUAUUGGGCGUAAAGGGCUCGUAGGCGGUUUGUCGCGUCGGGAGUGAAAGCCCAGGGCUUAACCCUGGGUCUGCUUCUGAUACGGGCAGACUAGAGGUAUGUAGGGGAGAACGGAAUUCCUGGUGUAGCGGUGAAAUGCGCAGAUAUCAGGAGGAACACCGGUGGCGAAGGCGGUUCUCUGGGCAUUACCUGACGCUGAGGAGCGAAAGUGUGGGGAGCGAACAGGAUUAGAUACCCUGGUAGUCCACACCGUAAACGUUGGGCGCUAGGUGUGGGAUCCAUUCCACGGGUUCCGUGCCGCAGCUAACGCAUUAAGCGCCCCGCCUGGGGAGUACGGCCGCAAGGCUAAA
RNAcentral lists this ribosomal RNA (377 nucleotides) under uncultured bacterium. Its description in RNAcentral is "bacterial SSU rRNA". It matches the Rfam family "Bacterial small subunit ribosomal RNA", at positions 524 to 898 of the family's 1533-position model. The record is from RNAcentral.